UUAAAUAAUUUGCUUGGUAAAAAUAGUGAGACUAAUUUUCUUCAAAAAAAUGGGACGUUAGGGUUUCCAUGUGGCGGGAAGGUCAAGCUACGCAAAAAAACGAGAGAAGGAGAGAGAGAGAGAGAGAGCAGAAAUCGAAGAAAUGGCUAACAAGCUGAUCAGCGAAAUCGGACUGCCAAGGAUUCUCCUACACAACAUUCAUCAGUCUGGCAUAUUUCUUAUUAAGACAUUUGCUGAAUUUUCACGAAUUCCUGUUGUGUUGACAAAUCAAGAGAGAUUUAAAAUCCAUGAGUCUGCCAAUAUUUUUUCCAAGGUCAAAGAUAAAUUAAGGUGGCUAAAUCUCCAAUAUCAUCGCCCAUGGCUUUCCCUUUUAUCAUAACAUCAUCUGGGAUGGUCACUGAGAUUCAUCUGGAAUUGAAUCUGUGAAGCUAUCACAAGUAGAUAAUGAAGAGAACUAAUGGUGUAGACCAAAGAUAUUCAUCACUUAAUAGGACGGAAUAAAUACGUACACAGUGAGCUGAUUUUUAUCUGUUGACUCGACAAAAUGAUGGUGAUCCUAGCAGUCUGCACCACUGAUUAUUGCAACACAUUGAAAUGCAGGCCAUGGUGACGUUAUUAAUUUUGAUGGGGAAAGGUUGCAGUUUAUUGGUCAGAUUUGAGGUUGGGAGAAGUGGUGGAAAUCCUGUUCUCACUCUGUCUCAGCAAAGGUUAUGUUUUCUUUCUUCAACUUAAAUGAUAAAAGUGAGAAACAUCUGAAGUAUCUUAGAAUAUAAAUUUCUGAAACUUUUUAUCUUUUAGCAACAUGGAGAUUAAGUGUAGGGGCCAUUGUCCAAUUUAAUGAUAAAAAUCUCAAGCUGCAAAGCCAAUUUCAAAGAAGGAAAUCUUGCAAAUAACCAUUUAGAUUGCAUUUGGUGCAGGGUUAGAAGAAUUGAGUAAAAAAUGCACGAGUAAAAUUAAGGGGUGAAGGAAUCUAGUAAAAGAUUAGGGCAGUAAAAUUUAAGCAUGUUUGGUACAGAAUAAAACAAUGAUGUGAUGGCAUAUAUUACAAUACUAUUUAUUUAUAAUGGUUGAAACUCAUGUAAGAAAAUUAAUUCAAGGAUGAGUGGAUUCUAAUAGCAAUGAAUAGAGAUGAAAUAAGAAAAAGAAUGCUCUCUUCUGACCCCCUUCAAUGGGUUAACAUUUAACCCUCUCGACCAAAUGAAUUGUUUAAGGGGUUGAACCGGUGUAACAAACAUAGCAAUGUAAAGUUGUUACAGGUAAUAGAACACCUCCCAAUUGCUACUCCUAAUUCUGCUUAGUGAUGACCUUUCAUCUUUGUAUGGUUUUCUGAUUCUAAACAUAUUUUAUUCUGCAAAUAUAAUAAGUGGCUGCUAUCCUGAUGUUCUGUACUCUGACCAAGCCAUUGCAUGGAAUAAACUUGUUUGCAAUUUCCCCCCUCUCUUUCUAUCUGAUCUUCCGCUUUUUCCACCCCAGAAUCCUACAUAGUGAGAAAAAUGAAAUGUUCUUAAAAGGAACUUGGCAUGGACAAGUUGCAAGAUACCAACCAAUUAAUUUUUUUGGUGGCAUAGAAUAGAACUUUGAAAGUCUAAGGAUUAGAAUAUCUGGAUGAUGGUAAAUUACACAUUGGCUUGUUAUGUGCAAUUGAGAAGGUUUCAGUUUCCACAUUUUUUUUUAAAUUCUGCUGGAUCAUGAAAAAGUUUACCAUUGUAUAUCUUGUUCGAUAUUUCUCAAACUGCCAUUCCUGAAAAUUUAGAUUGGAAUUGCCUAACAUGUUCCAGAAGUAAAAUAUUUGAAUAGACAAAUAUGGAACAGAAUAAUGUCUAUAUCCCUUUGGACCAAUUUUUAUGACAAUUUGUUGCACCAUUUGGAGUCAUGUUAUAAUGUUAAACUGUGUUAGAAGCUGCAAGGCAGAAAUUGUAUUGUCUACUUUAUUUUUGACAAAUGAAGGGAAUACCUACUACUUUGGUGUAUGAUCAGUUUAGUGAUAAUAUUAGAUCCUUAGUGCUUAUGUCAAGGAAUUUAAAGGAAGUGAUGUUUUACCUGUAACAAAGUGAAUGAUGGAAAUAGACACCAAUGAUUUUUCGCUCUGUUUUGUUUCAACAGAAGGCUAUUAAUAAAUGGUUGUAGUGGUGUUAUAUCUAGAUCAAUCAUACCAAGAGAUACAAAUAAGAAUAUCACAUUUAUUUAGGCUAAAAGUGUUGAAUAUAUUGGAGAACACACUAAUCACAUUUGGUGCGAAAGUUUCUUGUUUGGGCACUUUAGAAAAAGUUUUGGGAUGGUGCAUCAAGCAAACCAAGAAGCCAAGAAGCAAUUGGAUGCAGCUACUUUUGAUUAUAGAAAUGCUGAAGCUAUGUCCAUUUCUCUUACUUUUUUCUUGUAGACUAUGCUUGUAUGUCAAUGAUAAUGAUGACAAAGGAAACAUAUGAUUAUGCUAAGAUUUAUUUAUUCUAUGCUGGAAAGUGAGAUUAGGAUUAGCCAAUCCUCAUUCACUUGCAAAAGGAAAAGAUAUAAUUACAACUUUUUGUAUCCUUGGAGUUGGUGGGUUAUAUAGUAGAAGUUAGUGCACUGUUGUAAGCUAGGAUUCUCGUUAAUCCUGGCAAUGAUAGAGGGAAAUUCUUAUUUCUUUUUUGUCCCCUUUUCUGCUAAGGCUGAAGCUAUGUCCAUUUCUCAUACUUUUUUCUUGUAACUAUGCAUGUUUGUCAAUGACAAUGAUGACAAAGGAAACAUAUGAUUAUGCAUCUAAAAUUUGUUUAUUCUAUGCCGGAAAGUGAGAUUAGGAUUAGCCAAUCCUCAUUCACUCACAAAAGGAAAAGAUAUAAUUACAACUUUUUGUGUCCUCAGAGGGUUAUACAGUAGAAGAAGUUAGUGUACUGUUUUAAGCUGGAAUUCUUGUUAAUCUUGGCAAUGAUAAAGGGAAAUUCAUGUGUCUUUUUUGCCCCCUUUUCUGAUAAGAAGGUGUUUGUUACGAGGUUAACAAAGGGUAAUUGUUACUCUUGUAGUAACUUUUAACUUCUCAUUAAUAUUAUUUGGAUACUUAAAAGAGAUUAGGUUAACUUUUCACCUCGUUAAUAUUUAAGCCUUCUUGGGGGGUUAAAUAUUAACCUUGGGCGGCUAAGUUAAUAAUUACCCUCUUUAAAUAUUAAAACUUACAAGAGUAAUAUUUAACCAUUGAUUUUUUAACCUUCUACCUUCUACUAAACACACUGUGAGGCUUAAAAAGGAUAGUGCAGUAGUGAACUCAAGUAAAACUUGGAUACCGAAUGUAAAAGCUUUAACAAUUUGAGUUUUGGUAAUAACUGAUAUCCUGCAAUUAAGUUGGAAUCAAAUUUGAUCCUCAAUUAGAUAUUCAUUGUGCUUCAGAUCCUGUGGUUUUGACUUCAUUUUCCUCCCUUAUUUUCUCUGUACUUGAUUGAAAUAUCUUUGUAUGCUUGCCAGAAAAAUAGAUGCCUUUUUAUGUUGGGUGUUGCCACCCCCUUUCUUAAUACAACCUAUUUGUACUUUUUUGUGGCUUAUUGGUAACAAAUACUGUUGCUUAUUUACUAGCUGGAAUUUACAACAUAAGAGAUCCAAGGUAAGGACAGCUGAUGGGUUUUUGCCUUCUUAGAUUUGAAGGUAAGGGACCCACUUUUUCUUUGGACAUUUAUGCAGGAAAUAUGCUUAACAUGCUGCACAGGUCAUUAUGUACACUGAGGCUUUCCUUGUGGGGCUUUUCAGUUUAGCCCCACAGAGAUCAGCAUAAGAUCCAAAAUGAAUGGCCUUAGAGCCCUCUGGAUAUUAAUUGCUUACCUUUCCCUUAGUAUAGUUGCAUUAUUGUAUUUUCUUGAUCUGAGUCUGAUCUUCAACAAGAAUACCGUAGCAUGUACUCCAUCAAGAUUCAAACAAGUUGCUGUAGUUUAAUCUUUAAUCUUUGUAGGAACCAAGGAAAGGAGCUAGUAAAUUAUAUACAGCAUUUAAAAAAAAUAAAAGAAAAGGAGGUGAACCAUGCUUUUGUACCCUACAACCUUCUGGCAUUGGUUUCUAAAACAAGAGAAAAAGUCUUGGAAGAAACGCCAAAGAUUGUGCUUGUUUUUAAGGUUUGUUUAAUUUUCCCUCUUUAGGUUUUGAAUAUGGUAUGGUUCCUUUUGGACAUGUUGAGGAACUUUAAUCCUUUGUCUAUAUAAAAUUAGUUUGUUUGUAUAGCUGUUUGUGUUGUUUGAAAUGUGAAUCAUUCACCUAGCUAGUGACCAGCCAGACUUUGAUAUACAUAUGACUAUUUCAAAACCUUGGCUGGAUGAUGUGUUAUUGAACUUAUUUAGGUUCCAAACAGAUGCACCUAAAUCAUGUUAUAUUAAAUUAAUCUGGAUUAUGCUUUCAUUCUA
Hevea brasiliensis (rubber tree) is the source of this 4358-nucleotide long non-coding RNA. RefSeq lists it as uncharacterized. The record is from RefSeq and is a predicted model, not a curated record. The transcript is spliced from 6 exons. Lineage: Eukaryota; Viridiplantae; Streptophyta; Magnoliopsida; Malpighiales; Euphorbiaceae.